This 72-nucleotide transfer RNA is filed under the name Haemonchus contortus (barber pole worm). RNAcentral's name for it is "tRNA, Pseudo". The record is from RNAcentral. Lineage: Eukaryota; Metazoa; Nematoda; Chromadorea; Rhabditida; Trichostrongylidae.
UCCCUUGUGGCUCAGUUGGUAAAGAAUCUGCCUGCAAUGCAGGAGACCUGGGUUUGAUCCCUGGGUUGGAAA